UUGUAAGUGUCUAAGGGCGCAUGGUGGAUGCCUUGGCAUCGAGAGCCGAUGAAGGACGUGGGAGGCUGCGAUAUGCCUCGGGGAGCUGUCAACCGAGCGUGGAUCCGAGGAUUUCCGAAUGGGGAAACCCAGCACGAGUGAUGUCGUGCUACCCGCAUCUGAAUAUAUAGGGUGCGGGAGGGAACGCGGGGAAGUGAAACAUCUCAGUACCCGUAGGAGGAGAAAACAAUUGUGAUUCCGCAAGUAGUGGCGAGCGAACGCGGAACAGGCUAAACCGCACGCAUGGGUAACCGGGUAGGGGUUGUGUGUGCGGGGUUGUGGGAGGAUAUGUCUCAGCGCUACCCGGCUGAGAGGCAGUCAGAAAGUGUCGUGGUUAGCGGAAGUGGCCUGGGAUGGUCUGCCGUAGACGGUGAGAGCCCGGUACGCGAAAACCCGGCACCUGCCUAGUAUCAAUUCCCGAGUAGCAGCGGGCCCGUGGAAUCCGCUGUGAAUCCGCCGGGACCACCCGGUAAGCCUAAAUACUCCUCGAUGACCGAUAGCGGAUUAGUACCGUGAGGGAAUGGUGAAAAGUACCCCGGGAGGGGAGUGAAAGAGUACCUGAAACCGUGUGCCUACAAUCCGUCAGAGCCUCCUUUUCCUCUCCGGAGGAGGGUGGUGAUGGCGUGCCUUUUGAAGAAUGAGCCUGCGAGUCAGGGACAUGUCGCAAGGUUAACCCGUGUGGGGUAGCCGCAGCGAAAGCGAGUCUGAAUAGGGCGACCCACACGCGCAUACGCGCGUGUGAAUAGUGGCGUGUUCUGGACCCGAAGCGGAGUGAUCUACCCAUGGCCAGGGUGAAGCGCGGGUAAGACCGCGUGGAGGCCCGAACCCACUUAGGUUGAAGACUGAGGGGAUGAGCUGUGGGUAGGGGUGAAAGGCCAAUCAAACUCCGUGAUAGCUGGUUCUCCCCGAAAUGCAUUUAGGUGCAGCGUUGCGUGGUUCACCGCGGAGGUAGAGCUACUGGAUGGCCGAUGGGCCCUACUAGGUUACUGACGUCAGCCAAACUCCGAAUGCCGUGGUGUAAAGCGUGGCAGUGAGACGGCGGGGGAUAAGCUCCGUACGUCGAAAGGGAAACAGCCCAGAUCGCCGGCUAAGGCCCCCAAGCGUGUGCUAAGUGGGAAAGGAUGUGCAGUCGCAAAGACAACCAGGAGGUUGGCUUAGAAGCAGCCACCCUUGAAAGAGUGCGUAAUAGCUCACUGGUCAAGUGAUUGUGCGCCGAUAAUGUAGCGGGGCUCAAGCACACCGCCGAAGCCGCGGCACAUCCACCUUGUGGUGGGUGUGGGUAGGGGAGCGUCCCUCAUUCAGCGAAGCCACCGGGUGACCGGUGGUGGAGGGUGGGGGAGUGAGAAUGCAGGCAUGAGUAGCGACAAGGCAAGUGAGAACCUUGCCCGCCGAAAGACCAAGGGUUCCUGGGCCAGGCCAGUCCGCCCAGGGUGAGUCGGGACCUAAGGCGAGGCCGACAGGCGUAGUCGAUGGACAACGGGUUGAUAUUCCCGUACCCGUGUGUGGGCGCCCGUGACGAAUCAGCGGUACUAACCACCCAAAACCGGAUCGAUCACUCCCCUUCGGGGGUGUGGAGUUCUGGGGCUGCGUGGGAACUUCGCUGGUAGUAGUCAAGCGAAGGGGUGACGCAGGAAGGUAGCCGUACCAGUCAGUGGUAACACUGGGGCAAGCCGGUAGGGAGAGCGAUAGGCAAAUCCGUCGCUCACUAAUCCUGAGAGGUGACGCAUAGCCGGUUGAGGCGAAUUCGGUGAUCCUCUGCUGCCAAGAAAAGCCUCUAGCGAGCACACACACGGCCCGUACCCCAAACCGACACAGGUGGUCAGGUAGAGCAUACCAAGGCGUACGAGAUAACUAUGGUUAAGGAACUCGGCAAAAUGCCCCCGUAACUUCGGGAGAAGGGGGACCGGAAUAUCGUGAACACCCUUGCGGUGGGAGCGGGAUCCGGUCGCAGAAACCAGUGAGGAGCGACUGUUUACUAAAAACACAGGUCCGUGCGAAGUCGCAAGACGAUGUAUACGGACUGACGCCUGCCCGGUGCUGGAAGGUUAAGAGGACCCGUUAACCCGCAAGGGUGAAGCGGAGAAUUUAAGCCCCAGUAAACGGCGGUGGUAACUAUAACCAUCCUAAGGUAGCGAAAUUCCUUGUCGGGUAAGUUCCGACCUGCACGAAUGGCGUAACGACUUCUCAACUGUCUCAACCAUAGACUCGGCGAAAUUGCACUACGAGUAAAGAUGCUCGUUACGCGCGGCAGGACGAAAAGACCCCGGGACCUUCACUACAACUUGGUAUUGAUGUUCGGUACGGUUUGUGUAGGAUAGGUGGGAGACUGUGAAACCUCGACGCCAGUUGGGGCGGAGUCGUUGUUGAAAUACCACUCUGAUCGUAUUGGGCAUCUAACCUCGAACCCUGAAUCGGGUUUAGGGACAGUGCCUGGCGGGUAGUUUAACUGGGGCGGUUG
RNAcentral lists this ribosomal RNA (2497 nucleotides) under Mycobacterium tuberculosis complex sp. (ex Procavia capensis) 47. Its description in RNAcentral is "bacterial LSU rRNA". It matches the Rfam family "Bacterial large subunit ribosomal RNA", at positions 1 to 2285 of the family's 2925-position model. The record is from RNAcentral. Lineage: Bacteria; Bacillati; Actinomycetota; Actinomycetes; Mycobacteriales; Mycobacteriaceae.